UACGUAGGUGGCAGGCGUUGUCCGGAUUUACUGGGCGUAAAGAGCUCGUAGGCGGUUUGUCGCGUCUGCCGUGAAAGUCCGGGGCUCAACUCCGGAUCUGCGGUGGGUACGGGCAGACUAGAGUGAUGUAGGGGAGACUGGAAUUCCUGGUGUAGCGGUGAAAUGCGCAGAUAUCAGGAGGAACACCGAUGGCGAAGGCGGCUACCUGGACCGGUUCUGACGCUGAGGCGCGAAAGCGUGGGUAGCAAACAGG
Molecule: ribosomal RNA, 253 nt
Filed under: uncultured bacterium
Lineage: Bacteria
Description: partial 16S ribosomal RNA
Rfam family: Bacterial small subunit ribosomal RNA
Source: RNAcentral